UACGUAGGGUGCUAGCGUUGUCCGGAAUUAUUGGGCGUAAAGGGCUCGUAGGCGGUCUGUUGCGUCGGUAGUGAAAACUCAGGGCUUAACCCUGAGCCUGCUUCCGAUACGGGCAGACUAGAGGUAUGCAGGGGAGAACGGAAUUCCUGGUGUAGCGGUGAAAUGCGCAGAUAUCAGGAGGAACACCGGUGGCGAAGGCGGAUCUCUGGGCCAUUACUGACGCUGAGGAGCGCAAGCGUGGGGAGCGAACAGG
RNAcentral lists this ribosomal RNA (253 nucleotides) under uncultured bacterium. Its description in RNAcentral is "partial 16S ribosomal RNA". It matches the Rfam family "Bacterial small subunit ribosomal RNA", at positions 524 to 776 of the family's 1533-position model. The record is from RNAcentral.